UGAGCACUGACUGGAGCAAUCUGUUGACUGUCCCCUGUUGUAAACCACAGCUGCCUAAUUUUGAGAAACAGGGGCCGAGCCAUCAGAUGUAGGGGAAUGGAAGCUGAUGCCAACGGAAGCCCGGAGGUAAACUAGGGCCCCGGAAAAACGAAGAGGAAACAGAAAUUAUGAGUAAGCAGCGGAAGUUGAAACCUGACACUAAUUAAGCUAGUGCAAGAAGAAGAAGAAAAAGAAGAUGAAUCUUCCACCACACUGGAGAUAACCCAAGAAGUAAGAAAAACUG
RNAcentral lists this long non-coding RNA (283 nucleotides) under Homo sapiens (human). Its description in RNAcentral is "non-protein coding lnc-TXLNB-2:1". Lineage: Eukaryota; Metazoa; Chordata; Mammalia; Primates; Hominidae. The record is from RNAcentral.